UACGUAGGGUGCAAGCGUUAAUCGGAAUUACUGGGCGUAAAGCGUGCGCAGGCGGUUCGCUAAGACAGAUGUGAAAUCCCCGGGCUUAACCUGGGAACUGCAUUUGUGACUGGCGGGCUAGAGUAUGGCAGAGGGGGGUAGAACUCCACGUGUAGCAGUGAAAUGCGUAGAGAUGUGGAGGAAUACCAAUGGCGAAGGCAGCCCCCUGGGCCAAUACUGACGCUCAUGCACGAAAGCGUGGGGAGCAAACAGG
Molecule: ribosomal RNA, 253 nt
Filed under: uncultured bacterium
Lineage: Bacteria
Description: partial 16S ribosomal RNA
Rfam family: Bacterial small subunit ribosomal RNA
Source: RNAcentral